AACGCGAAGAACCUUACCAGGGCUUGACAUCCUCUGUAAAAAUGCAGAAAUGCAUUCCCCAUGGCAACAUGGCAGGGUGACAGGUGCUGCAUGGCUGUCGUCAGCUCGUGCCGUGAGGUGUUGGGUUAAGUCCCGCAACGAGCGCAACCCUUGUCGUGUGUUGGUCCACAAGAUCUCUCACACGAGACCGCCGGUGACAAGCCGGAGGAAGGUGGGGAUGACGUCAAGUCAGCAUGGCCCUUACGUCCAGGGCUACACACGUGCUACAAUGCGCGCGACAGCGAGUCGCAAACCCGCGAGGGUAAGCUAAUCUCUUAAACGCGCGCUCAGUUCGGAUUGAAGGCUGCAACUCGCCUUCAUGAAGUCGGAAUCGCUAGUAACCGCAGAUCAGCUACGCUGCGGUGAAUACGUUCCCGGGCCUUGUACACACCGCGCAUA
RNAcentral lists this ribosomal RNA (438 nucleotides) under uncultured bacterium. RNAcentral describes it as "bacterial SSU rRNA". It matches the Rfam family "Bacterial small subunit ribosomal RNA", at positions 958 to 1398 of the family's 1533-position model. The record is from RNAcentral.